GCUUAGUGAUGCUCCAACCAGUACUUGAAUGUGUUCCAGACUCUUGGGAGAGACAGAAGCUAAGCCCACUGGCUUAUAAUGUCCAGACUCUAUUCUCUUCCCCUUUUAGUAAAAACAGGUCAUUUUGCAGUAUUCUAGCACAGGGGCCUCUUUCCCACUCACCAAGGUAUUUCACUGAGAGAUCCCUCACUGGCAGUGACUUGGCUGUCCCAUCUACUCUGAGAAGAAGUUUAUCCAGCCCUGAUGCCUCGAAGUCCUUGAGUCUUAUCAGACCCUCUGGGCUGAAGAUUUGACAUCCUGCUCCUGAAUCUCCUGGUAGCCAUGGACGUGAUUUACGACUAUCUACACAUCUUUGCUGUUGGUGUUUACAACUCCUUCCAAACGAACAUAGAACAGAUUCCUAUCCUGGCCCAAAAUAUCUGUUCUGGGAUGUUUAUCCCCACCCUGUGGACCCUGUGGCAGGCACUACUUAUGAUGAAGACCUGUGCUAUAACAUUCAUUACUCUUCUGCUUCCCACGGCUCAAGAUUCCACUCUCUGCUUUCCAAGACACCUCGCACGAGUGACUAAUGUCAACACUUAAUGGGACGCAAUGGGCCUAUCAUGGCCUGGUCUUCCUCCACCAGAAAAAUGGUUAUGAAGUAGUCCUAAAGGCUAUUCUCUAUCAUCUACUCUUCACCUUGAUCAUGAUGUGUCUGUGCAGCCUCUUGGCUAGGAUUUCACCACAGGGCCAGGAUACUGAGACAAUUAUGGCAGAUGCAGUUCCGGAGAAGAAAUGUUCAUUUGUGCGCCAGAAGCCCCAGGCGUCGGUGACACAAUCUAGGUGUCGGAUCACGGCGGCCAAUACCUUCUCCUCCAACUUUGGAAGCCCAGCCCUCUCAAGUCAACAGAGCUGGACCCAAUUUUCUUCAGUUUCAAGUCAACCCAGCUGAGCCUCAUUUCCCAAGCCUCCCUAAUUACAACAUCUGACAUCGGGAGUGGGAAAUGGGAGAAUCAGCAGCAGCAGCUUUGGCGUCACUGUCGUGGUCUUGGUCAUGGUCAUGGUCAUUCUGAGCACACCCCUGAGCCACAUACUUUUCACCAGAGCCAUGCUCACACCUAUCCCUUCACUAGCCACAUCUUCCAGGCUCUGAACAUCAGAACCAGAUACCACAGCAUUCACACCAGAGGGAUACCCAUGAACAGCAGGAUGCUAGGUGAAGUGAGGAAGAAGUCAGCUGUCCAGUCACCAAGGCAGACUCUUUACCAGUAAAUCGCAAAUAUCGGCAUUGCCACUAUUAUGUUCUCAAUCUACUGUGCAUACCUGUACCCUCAAAUCACCAAAUAAAGUGACUCCUUGUGAAAUGGC
Phascolarctos cinereus (koala) is the source of this 1347-nucleotide non-coding RNA. Lineage: Eukaryota; Metazoa; Chordata; Mammalia; Diprotodontia; Phascolarctidae. The record is from RefSeq and is a predicted model, not a curated record.